RNAcentral lists this ribosomal RNA (362 nucleotides) under uncultured bacterium. Its description in RNAcentral is "partial 16S ribosomal RNA". It matches the Rfam family "Bacterial small subunit ribosomal RNA", at positions 338 to 697 of the family's 1533-position model. The record is from RNAcentral.
CCUACGGGAGGCAGCAGUGAGGAAUAUUGGUCAAUGGGCGCGCGCCUGAACCAGCCAAGUAGCGUGAAGGAUGACUGCCCUACGGGUUGUAAACUUCUUUUAUAAAGGCAUAAAGUGAGGCACGUGUGCCUUUUUGUAUGUCCUUUAUGAAUAAGGAUCGGCUAACUCCGUGCCAGCAGCCGCGGUAAUACGGAGGAUCCGAGCGUUAUCCGGAUUUAUUGGGUUUAAAGGGAGCGUAGAUGGAUUGUUAAGCCAGUUGUGAGAGUUUGCGGCUAAACCGUAAAAUUGCAAUUGAUACUGGGAGCCAUGAGGACAGUUGAGGUAGGGGGAAUUCGUGGUGUAGCGGUGAAAUGCUUAGAUAU